RNAcentral lists this long non-coding RNA (1955 nucleotides) under Brachypodium distachyon (stiff brome). RNAcentral describes it as "long non-coding RNA (BDIS_LNC005391)". The record is from RNAcentral. Lineage: Eukaryota; Viridiplantae; Streptophyta; Magnoliopsida; Poales; Poaceae.
GUCAUUCGGGGUUCAACAGUUUAAAGUUUUACCUAAAACUCCGUAAUAUGCUUCGCUCUGUACUUUGGCUGGACCUGGGCUCAAGGCCCACUACACCGGAGCCUAGGCCUGCCCCUAAAUCCUUUUGUCACCACCAUUUCAGUUUACACAAAUACACAUUCACGUCUUGUUUGCUCGUGUAAAUUGGGUGUCACUAUACUGGUCGGACCUCGCCUCACGGUGCGCCCCUCAAAGACCGAAAAGCAUAGGGUAGCCCUCGACCUGGAAGCAGUGCCCGUUGCGGUGUGGCUGUGGCCAUGGUCCAUGGAGGAAGGGACGAAGAAGGAAGACGAAGCGCCAGCGAACGGGAGAAUUGGGUAUGUGGGCUGGAUUAUGGACUGCCCGCGCUAUGGAUAUCGAGGCCCGACCUAGAUGGGUUUUUGAGAAGUCGGAUCGGUAAAUUGAUUGGUGGUAUCUGGUCUGUUAAUCUCAGCCUUUCAUUUGCUUUAAUAAUUGUGUGGAAACAAAUUCUGGAAAGCACAUAGUCAAGUACAACAUAUAUACUCAUACCUCACAAGGGCAUGGAGCACUACCACACGUCCAUCGAUUGUAUUUCAAAGUGUAGUACACUUGUACAGUCUUCUGGCAAAAACAAAACAUGGUGAAAGACGAAAGAACGGUGAUUUUUCCGGAUCUACCCAAAAUAGACCGAAACCAUGUAUCGGAUUCACAAUAUCGACAAAUCGACCGAAAAUUAAAAAAAAAGGUGGUCUACUGAGGACAAAAAAGACUAAAAUGUUGAUUUUCUGCAACAGCCUGAAACUGGGUGUACCAGGGGUCACGAUAUUGCCAAUCGGACGAAAGAAAAUAAAAAACAUGGCAUGUCGCAUGGAAACGAAAAAAAACAUCCCAAAAUCGUGUACCAGGGUUCAAGUUAACAAAAAAUCGACCGAAAACAAAAGAAAACGUGGGUUAUGGCAUCCAAAACGGCUAAAACAGUGAUUUUUCUGCACCAGGCCGAAACCAUGUAUGGGGGUUCACGAUAUCUGAAAAACGGUCUGAAAAACAAAAACAUUUGGGUUAUAGCCCAUAGAAAUGGCCAAGACAAUCAUUUUUCUUGACAAGCAAAAAAAGACCGAAACCGUGUACCGAGAGUGACAAUAUUAGAAAAUUGGCCGAAAAAACCGAACAAACGUGGGCAAUAACACUCGAAAAUGACUAAAACGGUGAUUUUCUACACCAUCCCGAAACCAUGUGACGGGGGUCACGAUAUCGGACAAACGGUCCGAAACCGGAAACAUUUGGGCGAUAGACCAGGAAACGGCUAGUUAUUUUUCUUGACUGGCAAAAAUCAAGUCGAAAUCGAGUACCGAAAGUCACAAUAGCAAAACAUCAUCUCAAAACCCAAAACAUUGUCCAUGACAAUGAGCAGAACGGUGAUAUUUUUGCGCUGGCACUAAACGGCUUGAAAAUGUUUGCCGGUGGUCAAGAUAUGAGAAAAUCGGGUGAAAAGCAUAUAGCCCAUGAGAAUGUCCUGCAUGGGACCUAAACGGCCCGAUCGAAACCGUGUAUCGUGAAAAAAAAAACGUGCACUAUAUAAGUAGCCUACGAAAACAGUCCGGAACCCUGUACCGAGGUGAACGGUAUCGCAAAGUUGACCGAAAAAUAAAAAGAUGAGUUAGAGCUGAGAAAUCAAUCAAAAUUCACAAGCGCAAAACAGGACGAAACCGUGUGUACCUAGAGUCGCGAGCGAAUUGUCCCUAUUAAAAAAAGUCAGUGAAUAAAUCGAGUAUAAACACCGGUCCACACGAUCUUGAGGCGCGGUGUUUGUGGUUUCGUGCAAAACGAGACUCGUCUCUGGGCGGUCGAUUGCAUUGUCCACGGAAUGCAAGAGAUACUAAAAACGAGCAAGUUAUGCAUCAUGCGCAGUGUACUGGCAUUUAGGCAUGUGGAAGAGAACGUCUCCGGCUCCACAC